UAUCUAAUCACCACAAUCAACACUUCAAACAAUUAAAAUCCCAGGAAACCAUGUUUAAGGAUGCUAGAAGUCAGAGGAAUAUGUCUGUAUAUGUAUGAAUGUUUAUCUAUUAUACUUCUACAAAAUUUAAACAAGAUUCUGUGUCAUACUCCAAAACAUGAAGAGAGAGAUCGAGAAUGAAGAGAGAGAUCGGGAAGAAGAGGGAGAGAUCGGGAAUGAAUAGAGAGAUUGGGAAGAAGAGGGAGGGACCAGGAAUAAAGAGAGAGAUUGAGAAGAAGAGGGAGGGAUUGUACCUGACCGACGAUGGAGGAGUCCGACGGACGCAGAGGGAGAGAUCCCGCUUCCUGAUGUCUUUUGCAUCGAAGAGGGGAGGCCAAACCACC
This 383-nucleotide long non-coding RNA is filed under the name Elaeis guineensis (African oil palm). RNAcentral's name for it is "long non-coding RNA (EGUI_LNC050934)". Lineage: Eukaryota; Viridiplantae; Streptophyta; Magnoliopsida; Arecales; Arecaceae. The record is from RNAcentral.